GAAUAGCCCCGAUAGCAGCGGCAUCCUUUUUAUCUUGUUUUUUUUUGAACAAGAUAAAAAGAUAGAGCGGAUAGCGGGACUGGUG
This 85-nucleotide small RNA is filed under the name Flavobacterium sp. 123. RNAcentral describes it as "Flavo-1 RNA". It matches the Rfam family "Flavo-1 RNA". The record is from Rfam by way of RNAcentral. Lineage: Bacteria; Pseudomonadati; Bacteroidota; Flavobacteriia; Flavobacteriales; Flavobacteriaceae.